GGGCCCGCACAAGCGGUGGAGCAUGUGGUUUAAUUCGAUGCAACGCGAAGAACCUUACCUGGUCUUGACAUCCUGUGCUAUGCUUAGAGAUAGGCAGUUCUUUUCGGAGACGCAGUGACAGGUGCUGCAUGGCUGUCGUCAGCUCGUGUCGUGAGAUGUUGGGUUAAGUCCCGCAACGAGCGCAACCCUUGUUCUUAGUUGCUAACGGUUCGGCCGAGGACUCUAGGAAGACUGCCAGUGUUAAGCUGGAGGAAGGUGGGGAUGACGUCAAGUCCUCAUGGCCCUUAUGACCAGGGCUACACACGUGCUACAAUGGUGAGGACAGAGAGUCGCCAACCCGCGAGGGUGAGCU
This 352-nucleotide ribosomal RNA is filed under the name uncultured bacterium. RNAcentral's name for it is "bacterial SSU rRNA". It matches the Rfam family "Bacterial small subunit ribosomal RNA", at positions 917 to 1269 of the family's 1533-position model. The record is from RNAcentral.